AGGGGUAUAGCUCAGUUGGUAGAGCGUUGGUCUCCAAAACCAAGCGUCGUGGGUUCAAGUCCUGCUACCCCUGCCA
This 76-nucleotide transfer RNA is filed under the name Senegalia massiliensis. RNAcentral describes it as "tRNA-Trp". It matches the Rfam family "tRNA". Rfam says of the family: Transfer RNA (tRNA) molecules are approximately 80 nucleotides in length. Their secondary structure includes four short double-helical elements and three loops (D, anti-codon, and T loops). The record is from RNAcentral. Lineage: Bacteria; Bacillati; Bacillota; Clostridia; Eubacteriales; Clostridiaceae. RNAcentral also lists the same sequence under 2 other names.